RNAcentral lists this ribosomal RNA (253 nucleotides) under uncultured bacterium. RNAcentral's name for it is "partial 16S ribosomal RNA". It matches the Rfam family "Bacterial small subunit ribosomal RNA", at positions 524 to 776 of the family's 1533-position model. The record is from RNAcentral.
UACGGAGGGUGCAAGCGUUAUCCGGAUUUACUGGGUUUAAAGGGUGUGUAGGCGGGCCUAUAAGUCAGUGGUGAAAUCUCCGAGCUUAACUUGGAAACUGCCAUUGAUACUAUUGGUCUUGAAUUCUAUUGAGGUUGGCGGAAUAAGUCAUGUAGCGGUGAAAUGCUUAGAUAUGACUUAGAACACCGAUUGCGAAGGCAGCUAACUAAACAGAUAUUGACGCUGAGGCACGAAAGCGUGGGGAUCAAACAGG